RNAcentral lists this ribosomal RNA (322 nucleotides) under uncultured Chloroflexota bacterium. RNAcentral's name for it is "bacterial SSU rRNA". It matches the Rfam family "Bacterial small subunit ribosomal RNA", at positions 28 to 351 of the family's 1533-position model. The record is from RNAcentral. Lineage: Bacteria; Bacillati; Chloroflexota.
GAUAAACGCUGGCGGCGUGCAUGAGACAUGCAAGUCGAACGGACGAUCGGGGCUUGCUCCGAUCGUUAGUGGCGGACGGCUGAGUAACGCGUAGGUGACCUGCCCCGAAGUGGGGAAUAACUGCCCGAAAGGGUGGCUAAUACCGCAUGUGGUGGUGCGUUCAUUCGUACCAGUAAAGCCGCAAGGCGCUUCGGGAGGGGCCUGCGUCCGAUUAGCUCGUUGGUGGGGUAACGGCUCACCAAGGCGACGAUCGGUAGGUGGUCUGAGAGGACGAUCACCCAGACUGGGACUGAGACACGGCCCAGACUCCUACGGGAGGCUG